RNAcentral lists this transfer RNA (73 nucleotides) under Zootermopsis nevadensis. It matches the Rfam family "tRNA". Rfam says of the family: Transfer RNA (tRNA) molecules are approximately 80 nucleotides in length. The record is from Rfam by way of RNAcentral. Lineage: Eukaryota; Metazoa; Arthropoda; Insecta; Blattodea; Termopsidae.
ACCACGGUGGUCCAGCGGUUAGAACGCUGGCCUUGUAAUCCUGGGGUCUCGGGUUCGAUUCCCGGCGGUGCCA